RNAcentral lists this ribosomal RNA (516 nucleotides) under uncultured bacterium. RNAcentral's name for it is "bacterial SSU rRNA". It matches the Rfam family "Bacterial small subunit ribosomal RNA", at positions 28 to 532 of the family's 1533-position model. The record is from RNAcentral.
GAUGAACGCUAGCGAUAGGCCUAACACAUGCAAGUCGAGGGGCAUCACAUGAAGUAGCAAUACGGAUGGUGGCGACCGGCGCACGGGUGAGUAACACGUAUGCAACCUGCCUUCAACAAGGGGAUAACCCGUUGAAAGACGGACUAAUACCCUAUAACACAGGGGUCCCGCAUGGGAAUAUUUGUUAAAGGACAACCGGUUGAAGAUGGGCAUGCGUUCCAUUAGCUAGUUGGCGGGGUAACGGCCCACCAAGGCAACGAUGGAUAGGGGAACUGAGAGGUUUAUCCCCCACACUGGUACUGAGACACGGACCAGACUCCUACGGGAGGCAGCAGUGAGGAAUAUUGGUCAAUGGACGCAAGUCUGAACCAGCCACGUCGCGUGAAGGAAGACGGCCCUACGGGUUGUAAACUUCUUUUAACGGGAAUAAAGUGCCCCACGCGUGGGGUUUUGCAUGUACCGUAUGAAUAAGGAUCGGCUAACUCCGUGCCAGCAGCCGCGGUAAGUACGCAGCGA